RNAcentral lists this ribosomal RNA (623 nucleotides) under uncultured bacterium. RNAcentral describes it as "bacterial SSU rRNA". It matches the Rfam family "Bacterial small subunit ribosomal RNA", at positions 37 to 653 of the family's 1533-position model. The record is from RNAcentral.
UGGCGGCAUGCUUAAUACAUGCAAGUCGAACGGUAACAUGCCCUCCGGGGUGAUGACGAGUGGCGGACGGGUGAGUAACGCAUAGGAAUCUACCUAGUAGUGGGGGACAACUUGGGGAAACUCAAGCUAAUACCGCAUACAUCCUACGGGAAAAAGAGGGCCUCUUCUUGAAAGCUCUUGCUAUUAGAUGAGCCUAUGUCAGAUUAGCUUGUUGGUGGGGUAACGGCCUACCAAGGCGACGAUCUGUAGCUGGUCUGAGAGGAUGAUCAGCCACUCUGGGACUGAGACACGGCCCAGACUCCUACGGGAGGCAGCAGUAGGGAAUAUUGGACAAUGGGCGCAAACCUGAUCCAGCAAUGCCGCGUGUGUGAAGAAGGCCUGCGGGUUGUAAAGCACUUUCAAUUAGGAAGAAAAGCUCAAGGUUAAUAACCUUGAGUCUUGACAUUAUCAAUAGAAGAAGCACCGGCUAACUCUGUGCCAGCAGCCGCGGUAAUACAGAGGGUGCGAGCGUUAAUCGGAAUUACUGGGCGUAAAGAGUACGUAGGCGGUUAUAUCAGUCGGAUGUGAAAGCCCAAGGCUUAACCUUGGAAUUGCAUUCGAUACUAUAUAACUAGAGUACAGUA